AAGUCGAGCGAACGGAUAAGGAGCUUGCUCCUUUGAAGUUAGCGGCGGACGGGUGAGUAACACGUGGGUAACCUACCUAUAAGACUGGGAUAACUUCGGGAAACCGGAGCUAAUACCGGAUAACAUUUAGAACCGCAUGGUUCUAAAGUGAAAGAUGGUUUUGCUAUCACUUAUAGAUGGACCCGCGCCGUAUUAGCUAGUUGGUAAGGUAACGGCUUACCAAGGCGACGAUACGUAGCCGACCUGAGAGGGUGAUCGGCCACACUGGAACUGAGACACGGUCCAGACUCCUACGGGAGGCAGCAGUAGGGAAUCUUCCGCAAUGGGCGAAAGCCUGACGGAGCAACGCCGCGUGAGUGAUGAAGGGUUUCGGCUCGUAAAACUCUGUUAUUAGGGAAGAACAAAUGUGUAAGUAACUGUGCACAUCUUGACGGUACCUAAUCAGAAAGCCACGGCUAACUACGUGCCAGCAGCCGCGGUAAUACGUAGGUGGCAAGCGUUAUCCGGAAUUAUUGGGCGUAAAGCGCGCGUAGGCGGUUUCUUAAGUCUGAUGUGAAAGCCCACGGCUCAACCCGUGGAGGGUCAUUGGAAACUGGGAAACUUGAGUGCAGAAGAGGAAAGUGGAAUUCCAUGUGUAGCGGUGAAAUGCGCAGAGAUAUGGAGGAACACCAGUGGCGAAAGCGACUUUCUGGUCUGUAACUGACGCUGAUGUGCGAAAGCGUGGGGAUCAACCAGGAUUAGAUACCCUGGUAGUCCACGCCGUAAACGAUGA
Molecule: ribosomal RNA, 772 nt
Filed under: Staphylococcus xylosus
Lineage: Bacteria; Bacillati; Bacillota; Bacilli; Caryophanales; Staphylococcaceae
Description: bacterial SSU rRNA
Rfam family: Bacterial small subunit ribosomal RNA
Source: RNAcentral